UGCAAUAAGGAAAAUAGAGAUCUGUGCA
This 28-nucleotide non-coding RNA is filed under the name Mus musculus (house mouse). The record is from RNAcentral. Lineage: Eukaryota; Metazoa; Chordata; Mammalia; Rodentia; Muridae.